AUUAGUAAUUUCAUAUAGUUAGGCUCUCUUUGUUUGUCCAUACACAUGAUCCAUCCAAAUGGAGAUGAAAAAUAAUGUUUAUUUUUGAUAAUUUAACAAGCAUUUGGAUGGAUCAUCUGGAUGAUACAUCUGAAUGAGUUUCUAAAUUUAGGCAAAUUUAUGAAACUCAUUUGGAUGAAUUUGAUUAAACCAUUUGGAUGGAGAUGGUUCAUCCAAAAAUAACAAAAGACUGAUAUAUCCUCAUUUAUAGUCAUAAUUUAAAU
Molecule: small RNA, 263 nt
Filed under: Arabidopsis thaliana (thale cress)
Lineage: Eukaryota; Viridiplantae; Streptophyta; Magnoliopsida; Brassicales; Brassicaceae
Description: ATSL068430
Source: RNAcentral